UCAUACAUAUAAAUCUUCCCCCUCGGAUUUGUAACAUCUAUAACACCCCUAAUUACUCUCACCUCAUUUCCGCGAUGCAUACUCUUUUCCAAAGCAAGAUUACCCCUCUCAAGUUUCUGAUCAAACAUUUGGCCAUCCCUUCUCUGGACUCCACCCUGGCCAGUAUAAAUUAGCACAUCUCCAUCAGAGUUUCUGAUCAAACAUUUGGCCAUCUCGUCUCUGAACUCCACCCUGGCCAGUAUAAAUUAGCACAUCCCCAUCAUUCCCUUCAUCAUCAUAUCCUCCAGAGGCCACUAUGCUAACAGCGAUAGGCUCUUCAUCCCCUGU
RNAcentral lists this long non-coding RNA (327 nucleotides) under Nicotiana benthamiana. RNAcentral describes it as "long non-coding RNA (NBEN_LNC013787)". The record is from RNAcentral. Lineage: Eukaryota; Viridiplantae; Streptophyta; Magnoliopsida; Solanales; Solanaceae.